UCGAUGAAAUUGAGUAUUCUACUGAACUCUAGGAUGAUAAUAAAGUCGAUUGGAUGGUGUAGCGUUCAUGUCGCAAAGCAAGCAGUCAUCAAGAAAUGCAUCUCCAUCAUGGGGAGACUUUGUUUCAGUGUCUAACAAAAGAGUUGAUGUCGAAUCCCCUUUUUGAUCUGUUUCCCAUUUCAUCCCUUGUUAAUCAAAUCAUGUAGCACUACAUCAUGGAGUCUGCAG
RNAcentral lists this long non-coding RNA (228 nucleotides) under Elaeis guineensis (African oil palm). Its description in RNAcentral is "long non-coding RNA (EGUI_LNC002174)". Lineage: Eukaryota; Viridiplantae; Streptophyta; Magnoliopsida; Arecales; Arecaceae. The record is from RNAcentral.